Molecule: ribosomal RNA, 252 nt
Filed under: uncultured bacterium
Lineage: Bacteria
Description: partial 16S ribosomal RNA
Rfam family: Bacterial small subunit ribosomal RNA
Source: RNAcentral
UACGUAGGUCCCGAGCGUUGUCCGGAUUUAUUGGGCGUAAAGCGAGCGCAGGUGGUUUAUUAAGUCUGGUGUAAAAGGCAGUGGCUCAACCAUUGUAUGCAUUGGAAACUGGUAGACUUGAGUGCAGGAGAGGAAAGCGGAAUUCCUAGUGUAGCGGUGAAAUGCGUAGAUAUUAGGAGGAACACCAGUGGCGAAGGCGGCUUUCUGGACUGUAACUGACACUGAGGUACGAAAGCGUGGGGAGCAAACAGG